GGGAAGGUGGCUCAGUGGUAGAGCGCUUGCCUUGCAUGCAUAAGGCCCUGGGUUCGAUUCCUCACCACCACA
Molecule: non-coding RNA, 72 nt
Organism: Dipodomys ordii (Ord's kangaroo rat)
Lineage: Eukaryota; Metazoa; Chordata; Mammalia; Rodentia; Heteromyidae
Source: Rfam